Molecule: transfer RNA, 67 nt
Filed under: Ictidomys tridecemlineatus (thirteen-lined ground squirrel)
Lineage: Eukaryota; Metazoa; Chordata; Mammalia; Rodentia; Sciuridae
Description: Spermophilus tridecemlineatus (thirteen-lined ground squirrel) tRNA
Rfam family: tRNA
About the family: Transfer RNA (tRNA) molecules are approximately 80 nucleotides in length. Their secondary structure includes four short double-helical elements and three loops (D, anti-codon, and T loops). Further hydrogen bonds mediate the characteristic L-shaped molecular structure. tRNAs have two regions of fundamental functional importance: the anti-codon, which is responsible for specific mRNA codon recognition, and the 3' end, to which the tRNAs corresponding amino acid is attached (by aminoacyl-tRNA synthetases). tRNAs cope with the degeneracy of the genetic code in two manners: having more than one tRNA (with a specific anti-codon) for a particular amino acid; and 'wobble' base-pairing, i.e. permitting non-standard base-pairing at the 3rd anti-codon position.
Source: Rfam by way of RNAcentral
GGGGCUGGGGCUCAGUGGUAGAGCACUUGCCUGGCAUGUGAGGCACUGGGUUCGAUUCUCAGCACCA